Podarcis lilfordi (Lilford's wall lizard) is the source of this 8304-nucleotide non-coding RNA. The record is from the annotation of a GenBank genome assembly. Lineage: Eukaryota; Metazoa; Chordata; Lepidosauria; Squamata; Lacertidae.
GUCUCUUGAUAUAAUGAAUUUGGGAAGUGAUGCAUUGUACAAAGAAAAUGCAGGUACCUUUGACCAGCUGGAGAAACACAAGACAGGUAUGGAUGACUCUAAGAGAUUGGGGUGACCUGCAUCCUCAAAGGUGGUGGGGAGACAGGAAUACCAGCAAGCACAGCCUGUCAUGUCAUAUUACUACAGAACCAAAAAAGCAUUGUAGCAGAAAUUCCCUCUUCUUCCUAUUAAAGGGAACAGACCUUCUGUUUGUGACUGUAUCCAGCCAGCCUAGGUACGGUUCAGUGGUCUAUGAGAGUGUGACUGCAUAACUGCACAUCCUGAGGUGCUAAGAAAACAUGGAAAGUUGGGGGAAUUCCUGCUUAGAUAAAGCACUGUGUGUGCUGUGAAGCUACUGUAUCCUUCAGGUGCCUACAAUACAAUUUGGUCAAUGCUAGAUGCACAAGUCUUCCAUAUGAGGAGGUGCGGUGGGUUCUGGGGAAAACUGAUUCUGAACACUGUGGGCCAGUUUCAGGGUAGUCAAUGCAGUGCUCACCAUAUUUUUUAGAUUACCACUCCCAUCAGCCUCAGCCAGCGUGACCAAUGGCCAUGGAUGAUGAGAGUCAAAGUUCAACAAUAUCUGGAAGGCACCAACUUUGGCUGUCCCUGACCUAGUGUCAGGUAGGUAGCCAUGUUAUUCUGACACAGUCGAAAUAAAUAUAUAUAUAUUUUUAAAUGUUCAGUAGCACCUUAGAGACAUGACCUAGUGUGUACUUGUCUUUUCUGUUGUCAUAAACACUGUAAGAGGGAAACAUUUCUUAAGCACUUGGGAGGAAGGAAUUCAGAAUAGCACAAAAUGUGCAAUUCUUUUUCUCAGAAAAAUGAUUAUUUUCACUAUAGUUAUCCCAGUACCCAGAGAUAUGAGAUGGGGAAGAUGGAUUCCAUCUGGAUCCUGAACCACAAUUUUGCUACUACUGCUCUAGUGUCUAUUCUGCUCUUGUAGCAAUUGUCCCUGACUCUGAACGCCUUCACCCCCAAGUUCUGGAACUAAUGUUGUGAUCUUUCUUUGGCUCAAAGUUAAGGGUGGCCUUGGGAGGGGGGUUAAUUCCAGGAAUCCCAAGCAGGGCGAUUUUGCUCACAAAAUGCUUACAAUGAUGGAAGGGCAUUAUGAGGUGCUUGUUUUUGAUUCCCCUGAAGUCCCCUACGCCCCUUGAAAAUUUGCCGAAGCUUAUUGGAGAUUUUCCAGAAUAGCAUGAGAAGUCAUGGAGGGGGCUGUGGAAGGAAAGAAAAAAGGUGAAGAAAAAUAAUCUCACUCCCUUUCAUCUGCUAGAGCUUCUAUUGGAUGAAAGGCUUUGACUAGCAUUGGAUACAACCCCCAGGUUCUUUUGAUACAAUUCAAAAUGAGUUCUAGAGAGUUCACUAAAAUAUGUUCCCUGUAUUUAAAGGACUCUUGUGAAGUUUCCUAUUAGAUUUUAUGCAUUUUUCUUUGUUUAUGAGAUUUUUUUUACUUGCUCUUCACCAUAAGGCCCCAGGGCAGGUUACAGCAAAACAGUAUAAUAUACAGAUAUAAGAAACAGGUAAAAUAGUGACAAUUAUAAAAAUAAGAAAAGCUGUUCUAAUCAGAAUACAACAGUACAAUGGUAAUUAUAGAAUGCAUUUAUCCACUCUGAUUUUUUUUUUUAAUUCCUUCCCUCAGCUGUUUUUGCUUUCCUCAUGGUACAUAUUUAUUUUCUGAAAUGCAUGAUCUAUUCACAAAUAUUCAUGUGGGUUUCCAUGUGGACUGCAGUCAGCACACUGGAACACACUUUCUUGAUUUCCAUCUAGAAAACAUUUGAAUAUUUACAUGCCUUAGCAAAAAUAGAUUUUCUUAAAAUGUAAAAAUGUGUCUAAAUAAUUUGCAGGGUCUACUUUUUUCCUAGUCUGCAAAUUGCAGAUUAACUUCAAUUGAUUUAAAACACAGUGUAUGAUAAGAGGGCCAGAAAGGGGUGCCUAACGUUAGCAGUGUACACAGAGAAGCCAGUUAUAAAGGCACCACAAUCUUCCUUUGCUGUACUCUAAGCUCUGUCAGACAUUACCAGCUCCAGAUAUGAAAUCAAGAACCGAUCAUAUAUAUUGAUCAUGCCAACAUAUAGCAGUAUUUACUUUGGAUUCAAGCACAAUCUGUUUUCCAUACUUCUGUUUAUUAGCUUGAAAAGUGCUUAGAGCUCUAGAAUAAUUUACCACUCCCUAUCUGAACUUUAAAAAAAAUAAUAGUGUAGAAAUCUCCUUCCAUAAACACUUCUGAAUAUCAAGGUGGUUGUGUUGUCCUCUUGCACCAAAAAGUGGAAGACCGUUUUUCAGGCACACAGUCAUUAGGCUACCAUUUCACAGUCAGCACAAACAACAGCACAAGCAUGCUCUGUGUUCCUUCCUUUUGAUUCACAUUCAAUUUUGCCAAAGUCAGGGUUAUGGACUCCGGCCAGCCAAUCCGGGUGGCCGGGGUGCAUGGCUUGGCUGAUUUAAACUACUGUGCGGCCAAGGGAUCUCCCUUGUUUGUCCGGCUUCUGCGGAGCUCCCACCCUCCCUCUUUUCAUGUGUCCUCUUCUUGGCCUUGCCAUGGACCUUGGUUGGUCACUAUUGAGGGGCCUGGUAGGCAUUUUUCCACUUGGCAAAUUGGCACUCGCCAUUUGGUUUUCGCCUACCUCAUAGCAAUCAUCACAACUUUUGUAAGGUUUGGCAGUUAGGCAUUGGUAAAGCCUGGUUUGGGGGAGGGCAGGUUUGGCCAUCACCUGCCCCUCCAUGUAAAAGGGUAUUCCAUUAAAGGAAUCCAGGGGUUGUGGUUCCUGCUCAAAGCCCAGGUGGUUGCUAGGGCCAUGGCACGGCCUUGUCUGUGACCCUGGGGGAGCUCUAGUUGAUGUGCAUCAGCAGGGCUCCCCCUAUUGCUGGUUGACCCUUACCAGGCUCCCUGCAUGGCGGGCAGGCGUCACAUAUAGUUGGUUUAAUUCCAAUGCCUAAGCCAAUACCACUCACAUUCUGUAACCAAUAAACUUGUGGCCUAAAUUUGCCAAUUGAACCUAAAAUACUGAGUCCCGGUAUAUUAUUCACCAUAGGGGGGAGGCCUCGGUGUCUUGACAUGCAAGAGGGAUUGAUAGUUCAACCAUUCUGUGAAGCAGAGGUGCCAGCUUCUCCAGAAGAUCGUGUGUGUGUGUGUGUGUGUGUGUGUGUGUGCAAUGUUGCACGGUGUCCUGAUGUCACAUGCAUGACGUCCUCUGAAAAUUGAGGGUGCCCAGCCCCCUCACAAAAAUAUAUUCAGAGGGCUUAAGCUGCCUUGGCCCCCUAGGAGUUGGCACCCCUGCUGUGAACUGUAGCUCUGGGAGGGAAAUAGGGGUCUCCUGACAACUCUCAGCACCAGGCUGACCCACCCAUGACAGCUGAGGCAGGUGGUUUGGGUAGCAAAAGCUCCAAAGGUGGUGGUGCUGUGGGUGCCCCGCUGCCUCCGCCACUGGCGACUUCCAGUGAGAUCUUGCUGAAAUCUCCAUGAGUUUUCACAAGAGCUUGCAAGAUCUGGCCAGAACCCACCACUGCUGCUUUGCAGGCACCACCACGCCACCUGGGUAAGGGAAGCUUUGGCAACUGCAGGACGGCACCUUCUUGUUUCAGCUCAGGUGGAGAAAUGGGACAUACAUCCCUUGUUCAGCACCCUUAACAAACUACAGAAUUCUUUGGAGGAAGCCAAUGUGGUAUCAUCAGAAUAUGUAGCAGCUUCCUGCAUCCCUUUCUAAAAUGCUUUGCAUAAUCUGAGUGACUGUUGACAUGGGGGCUUCAGCACAUUCCAGGCAAAGUCUAAAUCCGCUCUUGCCACCGUCUUUGGUGUCACCACAGUGCCACAAGACUGAGAGCAAACAAAGACUUUAUGCGGAUAAGGGUUAAAGAAGAAAUCCUGUCAUGACUUCCUUACAAGAAUAAAGCAAGGAAAGAUUUAGCAACCGUGUGCCAGUGGGGGAUUUUAAAGCUGGAUUGUUUGUAGCACAUCCCAUUUCGGUGCUUUGCUACUGUUUUGUCUAAUGAAUGGUUUUGCUUAAAAACCCCUCAAUUAUCUGGAGAGAGUUUAUGCAUUUCCAGUCCUAAGCAAAACCAGUGUUGAUAAGGCCAGAGCGGUUCCUGGUGCAUCAAACACGAUACAUAAAAAAUCUGAAACAAAUCAACACAACCCGCACAUCUGCUGGGGUAUGCCAUACGGAGCAAAUAAAGGCACAAACUCAAUUUGGAAAGAAGAACAAAUUCCUUCGCAAACCACUUCUUAUAUUGUUUAACUAUCUCAUGCAUCUUGUUUACACAUGGUUAUUUUGGGAGUAAAAAGCAAGGUCUUCAUGUUUAUUGCUCAUGUGAAUGACAGAACAUUCGAUUUGCGUCUCCGUCGUGGGAGAGGCUCUGAGACUGAAUGACUGUGCUGGUAAGGAGAGAGGUAGAAGGUUGUUAUAUCGUUAUAGAAAGAUGUUUGCAUGAAAUACAGGAAACGACUUGAUUGGCAUUUCAUGAAACCAAGCAGCCGCCAUCCUGGAAUGUAAACUUUAAUUUGCUAAUUGCAUUCAAAUCAUUUUAUACCUAUUGUGGCAGAUUUUCAAAUGUUGCAUUUGAAAUGUAACUUAGGCCUGCUUGACUUACAACUUGACAAGCCAAGGAUACCCCAUCAGCCCCAUGCUGGAAGCUUCCUCCACCCCCUAAGUCUCCAAGGACCUUGUAAAACCACUGUUUUUCUUCCCACCCCUCUUCUUUCAUGGGGAAAGGGCAAAAAGAAAAGACCACCCAAAACUGAGAUGGGGCUGGGAGAGAUUUCUGAGAAUUGGGGGGCAACGGGCUUGGUUUAAUUUACUUUGCAGUCAAGAAAUCACCAUGAAAAUGAUGCUCCAUAGCAUUACUAUGGUGAUCUGGUGCAGGAAGAGUAACCCAGUUGGCAAGAGUAUAGAAGGUUCUGGAGUUGAGGGAGCCUUGCUGGUUGUAACAAGUAGCCAACAAGGGUGUGUGGUUUUUUUUAAAAGUGUUAGUGAAAAAACAGGACCCUUCAUGGGCCAACUGUCAGAAGGUAGUUUCCCCCACCCUGAGAUUUUGUGUACAAUUGUGUACAAUUGAAGCAACACAUAUGGGCAUUUUAGAUGUUGAUGGACUACAACUCCCAUCAUCCCUGGCCAUUGGUCAUGCUGGCAGGGGUUAAAGGGGGCUGGUGUCCAACAGCAUCUUGAGGGCCAUAGGUUCCCUGCCCCCUGGACUAUAUUGACUAGCAGUGGCUCUCCAGGAAUUCAUAUGGGAUCUCUCGCACCCCUGCCUGGAUAUGCUGGGGACUGAACCUGGGACCUUCUGCGUGCAAGACAGAUGUUCUACCAUUUAGCUACAGCCAUUCCCGACUUGAAAUGGGCUAGUCAUGGUGACUUGUGUAACCAAGGGACCUGUAUCAUGCCAUUUGCAGCUUUUGACAUCUUAGCAACAGAAGUGGGGUGCCAUUUGGGAUUGCUUUCUUAUAUACCCAAUUGUAUGUUUUCUGUCCUUUUCCUAAAUAAACCUUCUUUAAGAAUUCUACUGUCAGGGACUGGCCAGAACUGGAGGAAGCAGUUAGGCAUUUAGCCAUUGAGCUUGUGACAUCUACUGAGUUUUGUUUUGGGAAGUCAGUAGCCUAAGACCUCAGAAAAAUCUAUUAUUAUCUACCAAUAUCUAUGUAUUUUUUCCUAAGCUCCUUGAUAUAAUCAUCUGUAGGCAUAUAUUAUAAAGCAAUACUUUUAUUGAGUUUUCUUCAAUUACACAAACAAUGAAACUGGAGAACAGUUCCAGGGAAGCAGUGUCACAUAUCACGUAAUACACACCGUUGUUAAACAAAUGAAAGAUAAAAGAAAUACCCAAUAAAGAUACAGCUAAAGAACAAGAGGCCAGGAUAUUAUCAUAAGUUUUGAAUUUCCAUGGAUCGAUGUAGAUUGUUACUAUUGAUGUAUGAAAUGAAGUUCCACCAAAUUGCAUAAAAGGCCUGUGGUCACUCUUUACCUUUGCAUGACUCUCAUAUUAUGCGCAAUCAUCUCAGAUGUAGCAAUGCCCCAUGUUUUUGUACCAUAAGGAAAGCUUCAAAUCUUCCAGUUUUUUUGCUCAAUAUAGUCUUGCAAUGGUCAAAAACAAAAACAACAACAACAAACAAAAGUUCCUUGUCUUUAAAACCCACACUUAUAUUCUCAAAUAAAGAUAAAAAUGACAACUGUGGUCUUUUAAAAUGUCAAUAAUUACCUUAUAUAUCUUAGUCCAGACCUCUUUGACUAGUGGACGCUCCCAUCACAAGUGCUAAUAAAUACCCUGCACUGUAAAUUAUGAAGUUGGAAAUCAUACUUUUAGGGAAGCCCCAUUCUUAAGUUCUAUAUUAUCCUGCCAUUUUCAAGCUAUCCCCAGAGUUAGUUUGAGGUCCACAUCCUAUCAAUUUUUCAGGUAUGCACCACUAAAAAUGUGUGAAGGCUGUACAAUGCAAGUGUACAAGUCAGAGAACUGUGACUGUGAAUUUGCAGCUCUUUGUCGAGCAGAUACUUGGGAACAUAGGAAGUGGCCUUAUACUGAGUCAGAACAUUACUCCUUCUGUCUCAGUGGCAAUGGCUUCCCAGAGUUUCAGACAGGAGUCCUAACCUGGGGAAUGAACCUGCAACUUUCUGCAUCCAAAGCAGUUGCUCUUCCCCCAAGCAAUUUUUAUCCAUAAUGGCAUUAUACAGUGAUCCUAAGGAUGGGGAAGAUGUUGGUCCCAUGGCAGCCCUUGGUUCAUGGCUGAGAGAAGAAUAAGGAAGUAAAUAGAAAUAGAUUCUACCGCAUCUUUUAUCAGAAACCUUAUUAUCCGACACCCUAUUCCACCAUUCACUAUAUUUCUCUCAUAUUGAUUGCCAUUAUCCUCUGACUGCUGCUGAAAGCCAUUUCUCUCUCUUAGGUUUGUAAACUAUUGCGCCACAUCAGGACCUGUCCUUAGCCAGCUGUCAGAAGAUGGCUCCCCAGCAACUACCGGGACUUUGCAUACGAUAGAAGCAACACAUAUGUGCAGCUUCCAGCAGCUCAGCAACUAAGGAUUGCAGAUUUGUGAAUUUGCAACUGUUUGCUCUGCACAGCCACCAGCUGCACACUUAACAGCUUAUCUCCUUGUCAGCAAAGCAAAAGAAAAAUGAACAGCGUAGAGAAAUGACUCACACCAUUCCUACAAGGAUUUGUUUGUUUGGAAGCCACUGCAUUGUCUGGUAGCAGAGGUUUACUUGAAGCUAGAAGAAGCCACCAUUGAAUUCGAUCGAGGCCUUUCCAGAGGGCCAGUUCAUAAGUAUCAUGUGAACAUUUGUUGCUCAUUUGUUGCAAUGGAGCUCUUGUUUUUCUCGAAGGAAUCAGCUCUGUUUCAGGUCACACUGCACCUUUCAAGCACUACAACUACAGUACAUACCCUCCAAAAUUUCUCCGAUGAAAAUACGGACAGCCUAUUUCAUCAUCAUCAUCAUCAUCAUUUUAUUAUUAAUAUCCCAACCCCAGCCAUUCUGUGCAGCUUCCAACAUAUAUAGAAACAUAAUAAAACAUAAAGCAUUAAAAAAACUUCCCUAUACAGAGUUGCCUUCAGAUGUCUUCUAAAAGUUGUAUAGAGUUACUUACUGAAUCUCCUUGGCUCAGGGGUCACAGAAUUCCAUAUCCUCCAACAUUUCUCUGAUGAAAAUAGGAACAUCCUAAGGAAAAGAGGGACAUUCUGGGAUCACAUCAGAAACUGGGACGACUUCAGGAAAUCUGAAAAUAGGGGGAACUUGGAGAGCCUGCAACUAGCAAGUGUUGUCUGCAAGGAAACUGUGAUUAAUUCUGCAGCUAGCAGGGCCAUCAACUGAUCAUAUUAACUGGAGACCCCAACUGAAAUUGGAACAUUCUGUAUGGGCCCUCUUGUCAAUGACAUGCUAUCGGUGGUGCAGUUAGGUGGUUAAACUUGGGACCUCAUGGCCUUGCAGUUGCAUGGAGGGGGGUCUUUAGAUGGUAAUAUAUAUUUCUUCACAUACUUCAGAAUGCAAUACAACCGCCCUCCUGGCUCUGGGGGCAUUGCUACACAGUGCUGAGUGGGGUUCUGGACUUCGACCCCAAAAUCUUGCUCAGAGGGCAGGGAUGGGGAAGAGAUUUGAUUCUUUCUGCAUUUUAAUGGGAAAUGAUUUGUACUUCUCUAAUUUGUACUUCUCAAUCUAAUAUGCAAACCCAAACACAGCAACCCUUUAGAAUUUGUACUUCUCAGAAUUGCACAAUGCAGUUCUCCAGCCAAGUAAUGUGUACCGGUAUGCGCACAAUAAGGGAAUGUGCAUUUUCAUCAGCACUAUAUUCAGC